UGCGAGGAAAUGCUUCACGGAUUGAUCUUAUCAGCAAUUCAUAUCCACCCUCACAUGGCGUUUGUGAAGGCAUUCGUAGCGAAGCUGUUGAGGGAUUUUUCCUCGAGAGAGUCGGCGAGGAGGGGUUUGGAGAGAGCUUUUGAGGCGAGUUUGAAGAUUGUGAAGGAUUCGCUGGAGGAGUAUUCGAGUCCUGAUUUUAGAGG
This 203-nucleotide unclassified non-coding RNA is filed under the name Hevea brasiliensis (rubber tree). The record is from RNAcentral. Lineage: Eukaryota; Viridiplantae; Streptophyta; Magnoliopsida; Malpighiales; Euphorbiaceae.